CAAAUGCCCAGGAGGACAGAAACCUCCUGCAGAGCAGAAGGGCAAAAGCUCCCUUGAUCUCGAUUUCCAGUACGAAUACAAACUGUGAAAGCAGG
Non-coding RNA from Apaloderma vittatum (bar-tailed trogon), 95 nucleotides. NCBI's taxonomy places the organism in Eukaryota, Metazoa, Chordata, Aves, Trogoniformes, Trogonidae. The record is from Rfam.